CCUACGGGUGGCAGCAGUGGGGAAUAUUGCACAAUGGGCGCAAGCCUGAUGCAGCCAUGCCGCGUGUGUGAAGAAGGCCUUCGGGUUGUAAAGCACUUUCAGCGGGGAGGAAGGCGGUGAGGUUAAUAACCUCAUCGAUUGACGUUACCCGCAGAAGAAGCACCGGCUAACUCCGUGCCAGCAGCCGAGGUAAUACGGAGGGUGCAAGCGUUAAUCGGAAUUACUGGGCGUAAAGCGCACGCAGGCGGUCUGUCAAGUCGGAUGUGAAAUCCCCGGGCUCAACCUGGGAACUGCAUUCGAAACUGGCAGGCUAGAGUCUUGUAGAGGGGGGUAGAAUUCCAGGUGUAGCGGUGAAAUGCGUAGAGAUCUGGAGGAGUACCGGUGGCGAAGGCGGCCCCCUGGACAAAGACUGACGCUCAGGUGCGAAAGCGUGGGGAGCAAACAGGAUUAGAUACCCAGUAGUC
This 464-nucleotide ribosomal RNA is filed under the name uncultured Klebsiella sp. RNAcentral's name for it is "bacterial SSU rRNA". It matches the Rfam family "Bacterial small subunit ribosomal RNA", at positions 338 to 795 of the family's 1533-position model. Lineage: Bacteria; Pseudomonadati; Pseudomonadota; Gammaproteobacteria; Enterobacterales; Enterobacteriaceae. The record is from RNAcentral.